RNAcentral lists this ribosomal RNA (466 nucleotides) under uncultured bacterium. Its description in RNAcentral is "partial 16S ribosomal RNA". It matches the Rfam family "Bacterial small subunit ribosomal RNA", at positions 28 to 507 of the family's 1533-position model. The record is from RNAcentral.
GAUGAACGCUGGCGGCGUGCUUAACACAUGCAAGUCGAACGGAAAGGCUCCUGCUUGCAGGGGUACUCGAGUGGCGAACGGGUGAGUAACACGUGGGUGAUCUGCCCUGCACUUCGGGAUAAGCCUGGGAAACUGGGUCUAAUACCGGAUAGGACGAUGGUUUGGAUGCCAUUGUGGAAAGUUUUUUCGGUGUGGGAUGAGCUCGCGGCCUAUCAGCUUGUUGGUGGGGUAAUGGCCUACCAAGGCGUCGACGGGUAGCCGGCCUGAGAGGGUGUACGGCCACAUUGGGACUGAGAUACGGACCAGACUCCUACGGGAGGCAGCAGGGGGGAAUAUUGCACAAUGGGCGCAAGCCUGAUGCAGCGACGCCGCGUGGGGGAUGACGGCCUUCGGGUUGUAAACUCCUUUCGCUAGGGACGAAGCGCAAGUGACGGUACCUGGAGAAGAAGCACCGGCUAACUACGUG